UACGGAGGGUGCAAGCGUUAUCCGGAUUCACUGGGUUUAAAGGGUGCGUAGGCGGACAGGUAAGUCAGUGGUGAAAUCUCUGGGCUUAACCCAGAAACUGCCGUUGAUACUAUCUGUCUUGAAUACUCGGGAGGUGAGCGGAAUAUGUCAUGUAGCGGUGAAAUGCUUAGAUAUGACAUAGAACACCAAUUGCGAAGGCAGCUCACUACAGAGUCAUUGACGCUGAGGCACGAAAGCGUGGGGAUCAAACAGG
RNAcentral lists this ribosomal RNA (253 nucleotides) under uncultured bacterium. RNAcentral describes it as "partial 16S ribosomal RNA". It matches the Rfam family "Bacterial small subunit ribosomal RNA", at positions 524 to 776 of the family's 1533-position model. The record is from RNAcentral.